AAGUAAAAAGCUAUUAAGCAUCUAACUUCGACCUAGAUAAUAGAUCUGUAAAAUCUUUACUUC
Molecule: transfer RNA, 63 nt
Filed under: Elateroidea sp. 8 KM-2017
Lineage: Eukaryota; Metazoa; Arthropoda; Insecta; Coleoptera
Description: tRNA-Arg
Source: RNAcentral